AUUGAACGCUGGCGGCAUGCUUUACACAUGCAAGUCGAACGGCAGCGCGGGCUUCGGCCUGGCGGCGAGUGGCGAACGGGUGAGUAAUACAUCGGAACGUGCCCAGUAGUGGGGGAUAGCUAGGCGAAAGCCGGAUUAAUACUGCAUACGACCUGAGGGUGAAAGCGGGGGAUCUUCGGACCUCGCGCUAUUGGAGCGGCCGAUGGCAGAUUAGCUAGUUGGUGGGGUAAAGGCCUACCAAGGCGACGAUCUGUAGCUGGUCUGAGAGGACGACCAGCCACACUGGGACUGAGACACGGCCCAGACUCCUACGGGAGGCAGCAGUGGGGAAUUUUGGACAAUGGGCGAAAGCCUGAUCCAGCAAUGCCGCGUGUGUGAUGAAGGCCUUCGGGUUGUAAAGCACUUUUGGCGGGAACGAAAAGGACUGUGCCAAUACCACGGUUCGAUGACGGUACCCGCAGAAUAAGCACCGGCUAACUACGUG
Molecule: ribosomal RNA, 484 nt
Filed under: uncultured bacterium
Lineage: Bacteria
Description: partial 16S ribosomal RNA
Rfam family: Bacterial small subunit ribosomal RNA
Source: RNAcentral